UUUGUAGUCUAUUGUUUAAGAUUUCAACUUAAUUGAAGUGUUUCUCACAAAACCUACACAGUUAUUUACAUUAACAAGCAUGUUAGCCACAUAGUCAAGUCAUAUAUCAUGUAGUUUCAGUGAUCAUGGUUAGAUUUCCUAUAUUUGAUACAUUUUUCAAAUAUCUCAUCCAUGUUCUUAUCAUCACCAUUUUUCUCUUUGAUGGGGUGUAGUAUGAUAAUAACAUGCAACCACACAUAUGUAUAGUUUACACCACAUUAAGAACUUAGUACAUAAAGUUUUCAUGCUUUGCUUAGAGACUUCUAGCAUACAAGGUGCUUUUUGUAACUUAUUUUAUGCCUUUGAAAAUAUUCACAACUUGGUUGAGUAAUUUAUAGUUCUUAUAACACUAUAGCUUUAUUCUUGUAUACAAAAGUGUAACAUUCUUGAUUUUCCUCUCUAUGCCAAAACAGUCCCAACUUGACCUAUUAUGGCAAUCAAGCUUUGCUUGGCCAUUUGGUGCUUUAGUCAGGCUUUGUGUGCAAGGUUAAUUUGGUAAUUAAAAUUACAUCCUAUGUCUAAUCCUUCACUUUUUAUUUUCAAGGUCAAGUAGCUAAUUUAAAACUGCCAUAACAGUUUCUUGUAUUGUGACCUGCUACUGCCUAAAGGCAGAUGUCCCUCUAUACUUUACCAAGAAUCUAUAUUACUUCAUGAGGCUAACAGUUCUUGAGUUUUGACAAUAAGGAACUUAAUUUAGUUUAAAUUAUUCUCAGCUUUAACUGAAUUUGGCAAGCUUAUCACUGCAAUAGCAGUUAAUUGAGGCCACUUCUAUUGUUGACUGCUAGGCAGUCCCAUGAUUUCUUUUUUAUCACAUUUUCAUUCUCAACUUGUAAGCAUACUAUAAAGUCUACAUAUGUUUACAACACCUACUCAAACUACACUGAAUGAUUAGCUUCCUAAAAUUACAACUCUCAACCAAAAUGGUUACCUAGACUGCUUUAGCAGUUACUUGUUAUCAACUGUUGUUGCACAUAGGCAGCAGCCCCCUUCAUCUUGGCCUAUCACUUCAUGUUUUCAUAACCUUUACUACGUUCUUUUAGUACUUUUAGUUUAGACAAGAUUGCCCAAAACCACCUUAGCAACAGCUCAAAGCUGCAGCUUUCAUGCCAACUGUUCCAUAAUCUUGGUUCCCUUGCAAGCCCAGAACAACAGUCCACAGUCUUCUUUUGUCUUUCUAUGCCAGCAACCAAGCUUGGCUUGGCCCUGUGAGGCUGAGCUAAGCUUGGUGUGGCCCUGCUUGGCCUCACGGCCCCUAAGUCAAAUCCAAAGCUGCUAUUGCAGCUGCUAACUUGGCAACUGCUGCCACAAAUGAGCAGUAGUUCUGCCAUUCUUCUUUAACUUUUUAUACUUGCAAACUCCCAAGGAAAGUCUAUAUACCAGGUUAUAAAACUAACUUAAACCAUCCUUGCUAGUAAAGUCAUAUUAAUUUGUUAAAAUAGGCUGGCCAAACUGCUUUAGCAGUCCUUCACUUGUCAACUGCUGCUGCUUGUUUUUAUAACCAGUAGGCAGCAGUCCCAAGUCCUAUGCUAUUACAAAAUCUUUAUUUCUUAGCUUACUAACUGUAACACAAAUGAAACCAGAUGAAAGUAGCUCAAUUACUAAUUUGGCACUGAAGCUUCCUACUGUUACUAGUUGCUUUUGUUGCCAAAGAUAGCAGUUUCUAUUUAUGGUUAGUACUAACUGUUAUAGCUGCUACACACUGCUACCUUUAGUAACAGUCCUUGCCCCUAUUUGUGAACCAAUAGGUCCUAGACAUGCUCAAAGUGUUGUAACUAUUGGUUUGCUCAAGUCUCAUAUUUAGUAGGUCCCUGAGGCCAUCUGCUGCUGCAAUUUAGCAGCAGCCCUUACUUGUUAUUCCAAGCCCAGCCAUCCUUUGGCCUCAGUCUUGCUAGAUUUUUAAGAGCAGGUCUCUUGGCUAAAAUCCUCUAGAGUUUUACAGUUAUCCAAGUGGCCUAUCACAUUAUGUUAAGCUUGAUUCCUUGGUUCAGCCACUGCUCAACACAGUGGACCAAAGGAAUAAUCAAGCUAGGAUUCCAAAAACUAUUAUGUUCUAAGGUUCAACCAACAAGACUGCACUAUACCAAAGUGAAUUAGAGGGCUAAGUGUGUCUAGUAGCUUUCUUGAAUACACUAGAAAUCAAUCUGAGAUUUCCUACUACUACUACUACUACUACUUGACAGCAACCUCUUUUCUUAAGUAUUAAUGUCUUAUAAGUUCUGUGCACCUACUACUUUAGGAGUUUAGAAACUUGCUUUAUUUUUAACUUUAUACACCAUGCCAAGUUCCACAGAUAACUGGACCAAGCUGUUAGCACAGCAGUUAGUUAACAACUGCUAUGCUACUAUGAUGAUAUACUGCUUAAAAUGCUAUUGUUCAAGACAGUAGCAAUAACCCCUUCUCAGCUCUUCCCUCCUAAUACAUAGCUUUAGGACCAAAAGCUUAAUUAUACCCAAGUUGAGAUAUAUAUUACACCUAGCACAUAGAAGUACCUUUAGAACUUAUAGCAAAAAUCAAAUUGAUUUCCACAAACUGUCCCAAAACAGUGUACAAAGGUGAUUGAUAUGCUAGAUUUUUCUACCUUUGGUCUUUUGCUAACAUUUACUUCUUGUUACUAUUUAGUAUGUUUAAUACUCUAACUUGUUGUUUCAGUUUCAAUUGAUCAACUAUAUUCCCUUUUAGAUAUCCCUACUACAAUUCAGUUUCAAUUGGCUGCAUUAACAACCUUGACAGUGGACUUAUCCACCUUUGGCUUUAACUUGAAAUUUCUUAAUAGUUAGGUUCCUUAACUCCCAUUUUACUCUGUACAUUUUCUGUUUGUUCAUGGACAUUCUAACAGGCUAGAGAAGGAGUAUCGGCCACCUAAUAUCCUCCCUACUUUGACUGCACAGAUAGGUUCUUUAGGUAACUUUGAUAUUCCAAGUUUUAGUUCUGUUUUCAUCUUAUCACAUUCCCAACACUCCAUUUAACACCACAUGUAAUAAUUAAAUCCAGCUCCUGCUUAACUGUGGUCUAAUGGUCAGUUUUUGUCAACACAGUCCACUUGGGACUUUUAACAAACAGGUGGUGUGCAUAGUUUUGUGUUAUCAAAUUAACUGCCAUUUGUUUACAUUAUCAAUCCAUGAUAACCUCCUUAUUGCUCCACAGCCCACCUAUCUCCUUGUGCCUAAUUUACAUACAUCACAGUAGCAUGCUAGUGAAUUACCUUUUACAGCAACAACAUAGUAACUAAAAGGAAACACAGUCCUUCAUGACUAUUCUAGGCCAUCCGGCCAUAACAGAUUCUUAGUGGCACAAAAAUGGAAUGGAAAAAGGAUUGAAAAGAGUCAGAAUUAGCUUACCUUUCUGAUGCAAUGACUUCAGAUGAGUUGAGUUGCUUAAUUCCUCCUCCUUCUAUAGCCGAAGCUCUUUCACUCUUACUCUCAGUCAGCUCUCUUUCUUUUUCUUUCUUACUGUGCUAGUCUUGGGGAGUCAGUUAAGGGGUGGAACAUGGAGUUAUAUAACUGAGCUUGAAGUGUCUUAUAUGGCAUAUAUGGCUGAACCUUCUUAUCUCUCAGUCAGUCUACCUGACCCCUUGCAUACACUCCAGUACCUCUAGCAGUUAGACUGCUCUGCAGUGGCUCCUACACAGCCACCCUAACAGACCCUAGCUUACCUGCUAUGCCUUAUCCACUGUAAGCCUAACUCUCCUGCUAGUUGUCUGUUAGCUGAACUAAUCUUACCAACUAAGAAAUAACUUGGAACCUGUAUAACUUGUUAACUAACUAACUAAUGCAACUGAUACAACUAAC
RNAcentral lists this long non-coding RNA (3827 nucleotides) under Panax ginseng (ginseng). RNAcentral describes it as "long non-coding RNA (PGIN_LNC000929)". Lineage: Eukaryota; Viridiplantae; Streptophyta; Magnoliopsida; Apiales; Araliaceae. The record is from RNAcentral.